This 262-nucleotide ribosomal RNA is filed under the name uncultured archaeon. RNAcentral's name for it is "partial 16S ribosomal RNA". It matches the Rfam family "Archaeal small subunit ribosomal RNA", at positions 748 to 1009 of the family's 1478-position model. The record is from RNAcentral.
CAGCCGUAAACUAUGCGCGUUAGGUGUAUCGGUGACCACGAGUUACCGAGGUGCCGAAGGGAAACCGUGAAACGUGCCGCCUGGGAAGUACGGUCGCAAGGCUGAAACUUAAAGGAAUUGGCGGGGGGAGCACCACAACGGGUGGAGCCUGCGGUUUAAUUGGACUCAGCGCCGGGAAGCUCACCGGAUAGGACAGCAGAAUGAUUGCCGGGCUGAAGACCCUGCAUGACUAGCUGAGAGGAGGUGCAUGGCGUAGACGUCU